CCUACGGGAGGCAGCAGUGGGGAAUAUUGGACAAUGGGCGCAAGCCUGAUCCAGCCAUGCCGCGUGUGUGAAGAAGGCCUUCGGGUUGUAAAGCACUUUUAUCCGGAAAGAAAAGCUUUGGGUUAAUACCCUGAAGUCAUGACGGUACCGGAAGAAUAAGCACCGGCUAACUUCGUGCCAGCAGCCGCGGUAAUACGAAGGGUGCAAGCGUUACUCGGAAUUACUGGGCGUAAAGCGUGCGUAGGUGGUUUGUUAAGUCUGAUGUGAAAGCCCUAGGCUCAACCUGGGAAUUGCAUUGGAUACUGGCAGGCUAGAGUGCGGUAGAGGAUAGUGGAAUUCCCGGUGUAGCAGUGAAAUGCGUAGAGAUCGGGAGGAACAUCUGUGGCGAAGGCGACUAUCUGGGCCAGCACUGACACUGAGGCACGAAAGCGUGGGGAGCAAACAGGAUUAGAUACCCUGGUAGUCCACGACCUAACGAUGCGACUAGAUGUUGGUGCACUAGCACUCAGUAGUGAG
Molecule: ribosomal RNA, 516 nt
Filed under: uncultured bacterium
Lineage: Bacteria
Description: bacterial SSU rRNA
Rfam family: Bacterial small subunit ribosomal RNA
Source: RNAcentral